This 58-nucleotide ribosomal RNA is filed under the name Ophiostoma novo-ulmi. Its description in RNAcentral is "partial 28S ribosomal RNA". It matches the Rfam family "Eukaryotic large subunit ribosomal RNA", at positions 1 to 57 of the family's 3401-position model. Lineage: Eukaryota; Fungi; Ascomycota; Sordariomycetes; Ophiostomatales; Ophiostomataceae. The record is from RNAcentral. RNAcentral also lists the same sequence under 13 other names.
UUGACCUCGGAUCAGGUAGGAUUACCCGCUGAACUUAAGCAUAUCAAUAAGCGGAGGA